Ceratitis capitata (Mediterranean fruit fly) is the source of this 992-nucleotide long non-coding RNA. RefSeq lists it as uncharacterized. The record is from RefSeq and is a predicted model, not a curated record. The transcript is spliced from 3 exons. NCBI's taxonomy places the organism in Eukaryota, Metazoa, Arthropoda, Insecta, Diptera, Tephritidae.
AGGUGGUCUUGUCAAUGAACUUUAAUUGCUGAAACCAAAUAAAAUAGGUCUAUUUUCGUUGAAUGUAAAGAAUGUGAUUAACGUGUAUGACAAUGGCUGAGUUAGGCUCCUGGAGAUGGACGACACAUUAAUAUUCUGCCGUUUGACAAAUUUAUCUGCUUGCAUGUCAAAGUUGAUGGUGAUUAAGGAGAACAUGUCCAUAAGUGAAUAGGCACGGAAGGUUGCAUUUAAUGUGUCUUUUUCACACACACCUUACAGGAAAUGUAAUAAAAUCCAAUUGGGCGGGAUAAUUGGAUUUCAUGUUGACCAAAAUGAAAGUGAUUUGACUAAUACGUAUGUACAUGUUAUUAGCCGCGUAAGACAAGAAACUUUGGCCGCAAUUAGAUAAUCACGUCUUUAUACUCAGCUUGUACUUGAUUUAUACUCAAUUUGGUUUGUCAUUCGAACAGACUUACUUUGAUACAACGGUUAAUGGUUCGGUUUUUCCGAAAUUCGGUUGGCAUAAUCGCCCUGUUGGAUAAAGAGUAUACUCAUAGACGACGUUUGAUGCGCACUGUACCAACUACACUAUUGCUGUUGUGAAGCAGAGUACCGAAGAAGACCGGAAUGAGCCCAUUCGCCAUCGCGUGCAACAAUUGGAGCGGUGCCCAUCCAUUCUAUAGACGAUUUUGUGGAAUUAAAUUGGUUUGAGGGCUUAUAAAAUCCCAUUCGUGCAAGAAUUAAAGCCGAACGAUCAUCAAGCGCAGCAUCAAACAGCGAGGAAGCUCUCUCUUGCUGGCAUGGUAGCGAUAAUAAACGAAAUCUACGGGCCGAGGGAAUCAUUCUUACAUAUUUCUUCAAAAAUGAAACUAGCCGUAAUGUUACAGUCAAUGGGUAACGCCUUGAAGUCAUGAUUGAUGAAUGUUUUGUGCCUGAAUUGGAUGAACCUGAUGAGGACGAUCUUUGGCUCCAAUAAGACUGCGGUACCCGUCUGACAUAAUAUAAUAUAACUG